GAUGAACGCUGGCGGCGUGCCUAAUACAUGCAAGUCGAGCGAACGGACGAGAAGCUUGCUUCUCUGAUGUUAGCGGCGGACGGGUGAGUAACACGUGGAUAACCUACCUAUAAGACUGGGAUAACUUCGGGAAACCGGAGCUAAUACCGGAUGAUAUUUUGAACCGCAUGGUUCAAAAGUGAAAGACGGUCUUGCUGUCACUUAUAGAUGGAUCCGCGCUGCAUUAGCUAGUUGGUAAGGUAACGGCUUACCAAGGCAACGAUGCAUAGCCGACCUGAGAGGGUGAUCGGCCACACUGGAACGGAGACACGGUCCAGCCUCCUACGGGAGGCAGCAGUAGGGAAUCUUCCGCAAUGGGCGAAAGCCUGACGGAGCAACGCCGCGUGAGUGAUGAAGGUCUUCGGAUCGUAAACUCUGUUAUUAGGGAAGAACAUAUGUGUAAGUAACUGUGCACAUCUUGACGGUACCUAAUCAGAAAGCCACGGCUAACUACGUG
RNAcentral lists this ribosomal RNA (496 nucleotides) under uncultured bacterium. RNAcentral's name for it is "partial 16S ribosomal RNA". It matches the Rfam family "Bacterial small subunit ribosomal RNA", at positions 28 to 507 of the family's 1533-position model. The record is from RNAcentral.